CUGACCCUACGGGUGGCAGCAGUGGGGAAUCUUCCGCAAUGGGCGAAAGCCUGACGGAGCGACGCCGCGUGAGCGAAGAAGGCCUUCGGGUUAUAAAGCUCUGUCUUCGGGGAAGAAGCAAAUGACGGUACCCGGGGAGGAAGCCCCGGCUAACUACGUGCCAGCAGCCGCGGUAAAACGUAGGGGGCGAGCGUUGUCCGGAAUUACUGGGCGUAAAGGGCGCGUAGGCGGUCACUUAAGUCAGGGGUGAAAACU
Molecule: ribosomal RNA, 255 nt
Filed under: uncultured Pelotomaculum sp.
Lineage: Bacteria; Bacillati; Bacillota; Clostridia; Eubacteriales; Desulfotomaculaceae
Description: partial 16S ribosomal RNA
Rfam family: Bacterial small subunit ribosomal RNA
Source: RNAcentral